UACGGGGGAUGCAAGCGUUAUCCGGAAUCAUUGGGCGUAAAGCGCCUGUAGGUUGUUUAGUAAGUUUGUUGUUAAAGACUAGGGCUUAACCCUAGAAAAGCAAUGAAAACUGCUAGACUAGAGUAUGGCAGGGGUAGAGGGAAUUUCUAGUGUAGCGGUGAAAUGCGUAGAUAUUAGAAAGAACACCGGUGGCGAAAGCGCUCUACUGGACCAUUACUGACACUCAGAGGCGAAAGCUAGGGUAGCAAAAGGGAUUAGAUACCCCUGUAGUCCUAGCCGUAAACGAUGGAUACUACAUGUUGUGCAUAUGUACAGUAUGGUAGCUAACGCGUUAAGUAUCCCGCCUGGGGAGUACGCUCGCAAGGGUG
RNAcentral lists this ribosomal RNA (368 nucleotides) under uncultured phototrophic eukaryote. Its description in RNAcentral is "SSU rRNA". It matches the Rfam family "Bacterial small subunit ribosomal RNA", at positions 524 to 896 of the family's 1533-position model. The record is from RNAcentral.